RNAcentral lists this long non-coding RNA (3571 nucleotides) under Sus scrofa (pig). Its description in RNAcentral is "lncRNA (ENSSSCG00025016847.1)". Lineage: Eukaryota; Metazoa; Chordata; Mammalia; Artiodactyla; Suidae. The record is from RNAcentral.
AGAGAUUCGUUUGUAUCAUUUUUUUAAGAUUCAACAUAUAAGUGAUAUUAUAUAUAUAUAUAUAUUUUACUGUCUAACUAACUUCACUUGGUGUGAUAGUUUCUAGAUCCAUCCAUUUGCUGUAAAUGGCAUUAUUUCAUUCUUUUUCAUAGCUCAGUAGUAUUCCAUUGUGUAUAUGUAUCACAUCUUCUUUAUCCACACCUCUAUCAACGGACAUUUAAGUUGUCCCCAUGCCUUGGCUACUGUAACUAGUGCUGCAAUGAACACCGGGGUGCAUGUAUGGGAUUUGGGAUUUCAACAUAGGGAUUUCAACAUAGGGAUUUGGAGUCUACAGCAGGGUGCAAGGUGGUUUCUGCCCCUUCCUUGCUCCCCACUUAAAUGGGGAAGGUAUGCCUCCUGCCCCAGAAACCCCAUCACCACCUACCUCCCCCCAGCAUUCCUUCCCUGGGGGUGUGUGACCCCUUCUCAACUCCUUCCUGAGUUCCGGUCGUGGCCAUCAGGGUGCUCACACAAUGGGCUUUCUGUCUGCAUGUCCCUGUGGGAUUUCUCAGCUGGCUUAUCUCCCACAGCAGAGGCUCCUGCAAUGAAGGCGGGACACGUGCAGGGCGGGCGGCUCUGGGCCACAGGAAAGGGAUACCAGUGACACAGAACACUCUUGUUUGCAGAGAAAGGCUGUGCUGGAAUGUGAACGCAGGCCAGCACCACACAGACGCACCUUGUUGGAAAAAGCAAGCUCACCUUUAAACCGGACUCAGAGGAGGAAGCAGAAACCCCACAGACAGGGAAAAAGCAUUCUUACUGCUUCAGAGAGAUGGUGACAGGUGACAGAUGACAGGUAUGGUUUGGCCCUUAAAACUGAGUGGAAUUUUCUCGCUCCAUCUCUCCUUUGUAUUAAAAGUUUUACAAGUUUAGAGGUCUCUUUGCUCUUUUGUAUCCCUUCCACUUUUUUUAGUCCAGACCCCAGAAAUGAGCCACGGAACCUCAAGAAGCUUCAGCCCUUGGACUUGGCCGUUCAUCAUGAGAAACCACAGGUGCACAGAAACUUGACCAUGAUUUUAGUGUUUCUCCAGUCCAGUAUGUAUAUCUUUGAGCAUAGUCAGGAAAAAUCUAAACCAUUGCACGUAACACUUUGUUCUGUGCACGCCUCCGAAGGUCUUGUAAUUCUUUGCGAAAUACACAGAAUUACAAUUCUCAGAACUCUAAGGUUUUGAAUAAACCUACUUGAGACCCUGGACACGCAUUCCUGCCAGACAGCAAAGCUCCCGGCCGAAUGGCUGCUGCUUGGCUACUCCAGGCAGCUGUCUUUGUCCCCUCUGCCUUCUUCAUGCAGCUAUCCUGGGGUCACGGGACCAAUCGACACUGACAAUAACCAGAAUAAGAGCUAACACUGGGCUCCUAUUGAAUGCAAGAUUGUAAUAUAAGUAGGCUGUUAUCUUGUUUAAACCUCAAACCCUUAUAUUAUUAAUAGGUGUUACUAAUAGGUAUUAUUAAAAUGGUAGUAACAGCCCCAUUUUACAGAUGGUAUAACUGAGGCUCAGAGAGGAAGUAAUUUGCUCAAAAGUUUUGUGUUGUUGUUUUUUUUUUUUGCUUUUUAGGGGUACACCUGUGGCAUAUGGAGGUUCCCAGACUAGGGGUCGAAUCAGAGCUACAGCUGCUGGCUUCCACCACAGCCACAGCAAUGCAGGAUCCAAGCCGCAUCCACGACCUACACCACAGCUCAUGGCAACGCCAGAUCCCUGACCCACUGAGUGAGGCCAGGGAUCGAACCUGCAUCCUCGUGGAUACUAGUUGGAUUCAUUUCCGCUGCGCCAUGACAGGACCUUCUCAAAGGCGUUUUUUAGUAAGUGGCAGAGAUAGGAUUUGGACCAGGACUGCCCAUCUCCUGAGGCUGCACUUCGGACCACUAAAAUACACUGCUUCCCAGCGGUACAACCGCAUCGUAAAUCAGAAUCACCAAACCACAGUUCAUGGUUCUCUGAAUUGCUGGCCCUAGAAAGCCUUAUGGAGCAGGAAACUAGAUCACGCGAUAUUAGCAAAGACCAGAUCUUCCCAUUUCCUUGCUGUGGAUUUUCAGGCUAAUUAACUCCUAACAACAACAACAACAAUAACAGUAACCAUCUCACUGUAAAGAUUGACCGAGAUGGGACAUCAGAACCUCGCUCAUCUCUGGUGCUGAGUAGGCCAGCCUCAAAUGCUAGUUCCUUUUGGAGGACAAUUACGGUAGGUUUCUAGUGUUCUGUUUUUCACAGCUCAAAGGCAUUUCAGCUCAGAAACAAGCCAUGACUGCCGCACGCGGAGAAAAUGUAGCUUCCACCAAACACAGCCAGACAAGAGGGGCUGGUAGACCAUCCAGAGCUCUGGGGCCUUCGGAAACUAGCCACCCAGGCUCUGCUCGGACACAAGCCGCAUCUCCAGCUCAGCCCAAUAAUUAGCUCUUCCCAGGCACGGGCCGCGGCAUCUACCCAUUUGGCACUGGUUUGCUGUGGUCACCAAGAUGGUGGGUGGCCCAACUGGAACCAACGCUGCCAAGUGUCCUCUAGACACUGUCCAGAGUUCCCAAGACACCACUCUCUGUUCAACAGCUUCUGGGACUUCUGGUUGUGUUUAUGUUCCACAGGGAAAUAAAGAUUUGAGCUCCAGGAUUGGAGACUGUGAAAACGCCACAAAGACACUUAGAGAUACCAGGGAGGUGAACAGCAGCUUCCCUAUGAGAUACCCAAGGUGGAUAUUACUGAGUCAUUACCCGGCCUCAAAUUCUCAACACGGCCCUAUGAGCAGAUACCACCAAUAGAUUCCUAUUUUCCAGUGAGAUGAAACACAUUUCCUGCCCUGAGCUCAACCAAACCCAUCAUUUUCUGGUGAGGCACAUGAGAUCCAGAACGGGAAGUGAAUUUCCUAAAGGCCACACACAGUUUCUAGCAAAACCCAAUCUUGAAUCUGCGUUUCCUGAUACAAACUCCGGGGUUCUUCCCUUUUCGGCAAAAUAAAUUUUUCGGUGUCCUCCCCCAACGCCCCCCGCCCCACCUCUUCUUCAUUUCCUCUUCUUCAGCGCCUCACCGAAGGCUCUAACCAGAACAUCUUUUGUUCAGAAGACAGCAUAUCCCGGCUCUGGGAGAACUGUGAUUCAGCAGGGCUUCAAGUCUGGGAUGCAUCCAAGAGGCCACACACAAAACUGCUGGUUCAAGCUGUGGGGGCAACGGAUCCCAGAGGGGUAGAGAGGGCGGGGCGCAUCCCCAGCUGCAGGCUGUGCCCCCCAACAGGGGAGCCUCCUUCCUAGACUGGAAGAGAGACAGCUGGCAGAUGAAUCUGUAGGAGGCAGACGGGCAGAGGCGUCCUAAGAUGGGAGUCAGGGUCAAUGUCAGGAGGUUUCAACGUGAGCGGUACACUGUCAGGGGAUUCAGAGCUUCCUUCUGCCUCCGAAGCCUUCUCCUGUAUUUUGUUUUUGUUCUUUUGCUUUUUUAGGGCCGCACCCGUGGCACAUGGAGGUUCUAAGACUUGCCCCAAAGCCAAAGCACAACCCAUUUAACCUUCACAUCUUCUGGUAAGCUAAAAAAAAAAAAAAAAAAAAAGU